Molecule: ribosomal RNA, 441 nt
Filed under: uncultured bacterium
Lineage: Bacteria
Description: partial 16S ribosomal RNA
Rfam family: Bacterial small subunit ribosomal RNA
Source: RNAcentral
CCUACGGGUGGCAGCAGUGGGGAAUAUUGCACAAUGGGGGAAACCCUGAUGCAGCGACGCCGCGUGGGUGACGAAGUAUUUCGGUAUGUAAAGCCCUAUCAGCAGGGAAGAAGAUGACAGUACCUGACCAAGAAGCCCCGGCUAACUACGUGCCAGCAGCCGCGGUAAUACGUAGGGGGCAAGCGUUAUCCGGAUUUACUGGGUGUAAAGGGAGCGUAGGUGGCAGGGCAAGCCAGAAGUGAAAACCCGGGGCUUAACCCCGCGGAUUGCGUUGGGAACUGUCAGGCUGGAGUGCAGGAGGGGCAGGCGGAAUUCCUGGUGUAGCGGUGAAAUGCGUAGAUAUCAGGAGGAACACCGGUGGCGAAGGCGGCCUGCUGGACUGUAACUGACGCUGAGGCUCGAAAGCGUGGGGAGCAAACAGGAUUAGAUACCCCUGUAGUC